CGAAUCGCCCCGUGCAUCAGCCGCGUAUACGUAGGGUGCGAGCGUUGUCGGAAUUACUGGGCGUAAAGAGCUCGUAGGUGGUUUGUCGCGUUGUUCGUGAAAACUCACAGCUUAACUGUGGGCGUGCGGGCGAUACGGGCAGACUAGAGUACUGCAGGGGAGACUGGAAUUCCUGGUGUAGCGGUGGAAUGCGCAGAUAUCAGGAGGAACACCGGUGGCGAAGGCGGGUCUCUGGGCAGUAACUGACGCUGAGGAGCGAAAGCGUGGGGAGCGAACAGGAUUAGAUACCCUGGUAGUCCACGCCGUAAACGGUGGGUACUAGGUGUGGGUUCCUUCCUUGGGAUCCGUGCCGUAGCUAACGCAUUAAGUACCCCGCCUGGGGAGUACGGCCGCAAGGCUAAAACUCAAAGGAAUUGACGGGGGCCCGCACAAGCGGCGUAGCAUGUGGAUUAAUUCGAUGCAACGCGAAGAACCUUACCUGGGUUUGACAUGCACAGGACGCCGGCAGAGAUGUCGGUUCCCUUGUGGCCUGUGUGC
This 537-nucleotide ribosomal RNA is filed under the name uncultured organism. RNAcentral describes it as "SSU rRNA". It matches the Rfam family "Bacterial small subunit ribosomal RNA", at positions 494 to 1035 of the family's 1533-position model. The record is from RNAcentral.